RNAcentral lists this ribosomal RNA (400 nucleotides) under phytoplankton environmental sample. RNAcentral's name for it is "partial small subunit ribosomal RNA". It matches the Rfam family "Eukaryotic small subunit ribosomal RNA", at positions 587 to 983 of the family's 1831-position model. The record is from RNAcentral.
AGCUCCAAUAGCGUAUAUUAAAGUUGUUGCAGUUAAAAAGCUCGUAGUUGAAUUUAUGAUAUGGCACGCCUGGUCCGCCCCAUUUAGGUGUGUGAGUACCGGCGCGUGCCUAUCAUCCUUCUGCGGACUGCGUCUACCCUUGAUUGGGCCGGGCGUGGGACGUAGAUCGUUUACUUUGAAAAAAUUAGAGUGUUUCAAGCAGGCUUAUGCCUUGAAUACAUUAGCAUGGAAUAAUAAGAUAGGGCUUUGGUUCUAUUUUGUUGGUUUCUAGGACUGAAGUAAUGAUUGAUAGGGAUAGUUGGGGGUGCUAGUAUUGAACGGCCAGAGGUGAAAUUCUUGGAUUCGUUCAAGACUAACUAAUGCGAAAGCAUUCACCAAGGAUGUCUUCUUUAAUCAAGAA